This 439-nucleotide ribosomal RNA is filed under the name uncultured bacterium. RNAcentral describes it as "partial 16S ribosomal RNA". It matches the Rfam family "Bacterial small subunit ribosomal RNA", at positions 339 to 795 of the family's 1533-position model. The record is from RNAcentral.
CUACGGGUGGCACCAGUGGGGAAUAUUGGACAAUGGGCGCAAGCCUGAUCCAGCAAUGCCGCGUGAGUGAAGACGGCCUUAGGGUUGUAAAACUCUUUCGCUAGGGAAGAUAAUGACUGUACCUAGUAAAGAAGUCCCGGCUAACUCCGUGCCAGCAGCCGCGGUAAUACGGAGGGGACUAGCGUUGUUCGGAAUUACUGGGCGUAAAGAGUUCGUAGGCGGACUGACAAGUUAGAGGUGAAAUCCCAGGGCUCAACCCUGGAACUGCCUUUAAAACUGUCAGUCUAGAGACCGGAAGAGGUUAGGGGAAUACCUAGUGUAGAGGUGAAAUUCGUAGAUAUUAGGUGGAACACCAGUGGCGAAGGCGCCUAACUGGUCCGGUACUGACGCUGAGGAACGAAAGCGUGGGGAGCAAACAGGAUUAGAUACCCUAGUAGUC